RNAcentral lists this ribosomal RNA (468 nucleotides) under uncultured bacterium. Its description in RNAcentral is "partial 16S ribosomal RNA". It matches the Rfam family "Bacterial small subunit ribosomal RNA", at positions 28 to 507 of the family's 1533-position model. The record is from RNAcentral.
GACGAACGCUGGCGGCGUGCUUAACACAUGCAAGUCGAACGGAAAGGCCCUGCCUGGGGGGGGUGCGCGAGGGGCGAACGGGUGAGUAACACGUAAGUAACCUGCCCUUGACUUUGGGAUAACUUCAGGAAACUGGGGCUAAUACCGGAUAGGAGCUCCGGCUGGAGGGGGGGGGUAGGAAAGGGUCGGCGGUUGGGGAUGGCCGCGCGGCUUAUCAGCUUGUUGGUGGGGGAGUGGCUUACCAAGGCAUUGACGGGUAGCCGGCCUGGGAGGGUGCCCGGCCACAUUGGGACUGGGAUCCGGCCCGGACUCCUACGGGAGGCAGCAGUGGGGAAUAUUGCCCAAUGGGCGGAAGCCUGAUGAAGCACCGCCGCGUGCGGGUUGACGGCCUUCGGGUUGUAACCCGCUUUCGCAUGUGACGAAGCGUGAGUGACGGUAAUGGGUAAAGAAGCACCGGCUAACUACGUG